RNAcentral lists this small RNA (482 nucleotides) under Pan troglodytes (chimpanzee). Its description in RNAcentral is "processed transcript". Lineage: Eukaryota; Metazoa; Chordata; Mammalia; Primates; Hominidae. The record is from RNAcentral.
ACUCCUCCAUAGUUAACUUGCUACGUACAUGAAGCCAGAAUAGACUAGUUCAUAUAUCCAAGAGCAGGGCUCCUGAAGGGCAUGGACUCUAGCUUAUUGCAGACAUACCCUGGCAUCUAGCACAAUACCUGGCACAUAAUAGACAGCAGUCUGCAGCCUGGAAGAGGACCCUCACGAGAACCUGACCAUCUUAGCACUGUGUUUUGGACUUCCAGGCUCCAUAACUCCUUCAUUUAGAAAGGGAGCAUGAGAAGCACUGAAAAGUAAGGCACUGUGAUCUACACGGAAACCAUAUAUUGGGCUCACAGCUACUGAAUGAGACCGACUGGUGGAGACAGUUUAGUGAACCUGGUAAACACUACACGUGAAGAGUGGUGAAAGGGAACAUUGAUUACUGAAGUGCCCUGGAGAGGGAAAGCACUGGUCAACAUCACAUGGACAAAUUUCAUUGUUUUCUAAAGAUGGCCUGGAAGUAGUCUUUG